This 347-nucleotide ribosomal RNA is filed under the name uncultured bacterium. RNAcentral describes it as "bacterial SSU rRNA". It matches the Rfam family "Bacterial small subunit ribosomal RNA", at positions 917 to 1267 of the family's 1533-position model. The record is from RNAcentral.
GGGCCCGCACAAGCGGUGGAGCAUGUGGUUUAAUUCGAUGAUACGCGAGGAACCUUACCAGGGCUUAAAUGUAAGUUGCAUAAAUCAGAGAUGAUUUUUUCUUCGGACUACUUACAAGGUGCUGCAUGGUUGUCGUCAGCUCGUGCCGUGAGGUGUCAGGUUAAGUCCUAUAACGAGCGCAACCCCUAUCGUUAGUUGCCAGCAAGUAAAGUUGGGUACUCUAGCGAGACUGCCGGUGCAAACCGUGAGGAAGGUGGGGAUGACGUCAAAUCAUCACGGCCCUUACGUCCUGGCUACACACGUGCUACAAUGGUCGGUACAGAGAGCAGCCACUACGCGAGUAGGAG